RNAcentral lists this ribosomal RNA (616 nucleotides) under Naganishia uzbekistanensis. Its description in RNAcentral is "eukaryotic LSU rRNA". It matches the Rfam family "Eukaryotic large subunit ribosomal RNA", at positions 45 to 650 of the family's 3401-position model. Lineage: Eukaryota; Fungi; Basidiomycota; Tremellomycetes; Filobasidiales; Filobasidiaceae. The record is from RNAcentral.
AAUAGGCGGAGGAAAAGAAACUAACAAGGAUUCCCCUAGUAACGGCGAGUGAAGCGGGAAGAGCUCAAAUUUGAAAUCUGGUAGCCUUCGGCUGCCCGAGUUGUAAUCUAGAGAAGUGUUUUCCGUGCCGGCCCAUGUACAAGUCCCUUGGAACAGGGCGUCAUAGAGGGUGAGAAUCCCGUCCUUGACAUGGACCCCCGGUGCUUUGUGAUACACUUUCAACGAGUCGAGUUGUUUGGGAAUGCAGCUCAAAAUGGGUGGUGAAUUCCAUCUAAAGCUAAAUAUUGGCGAGAGACCGAUAGCGAACAAGUACCGUGAGGGAAAGAUGAAAAGCACUUUGGAAAGAGAGUUAAACAGUACGUGAAAUUGUUGAAAGGGAAACGAUUGAAGUCAGUCAUGCUCUUUGGAUUCAGCCGUUCUGCGGUGUAUUUCCAUUGAGUGGGGUCAACAUCAGUUUUGAUCGCUGGAUAAAGGCACUAGGAAGGUAGCACUCUCGGGUGAACUUAUAGCCUAGCGUCAUAUACAGUGAUUGGGACUGAGGAACGCAGCAUGCCUUUAUGGCCGGGAUUCGUCCACGUACAUGCUUAGGAUGUGACAUAAUGGCUUUAAACGACCC